This 1522-nucleotide long non-coding RNA is filed under the name Lonchura striata (white-rumped munia). RNAcentral's name for it is "domestica (Bengalese finch) lncRNA (ENSLSDG00000007627.1)". The record is from RNAcentral. Lineage: Eukaryota; Metazoa; Chordata; Aves; Passeriformes; Estrildidae.
GGACAGGGACAGGGGCUGGCACGGCACGGGGGCAGCACGGGGACAGGGGCACUGCUGAGGGUGGGGUCCCGGGCGGGGGGACAGGGGACAUGGCACAGGAAAGGAAUGGGGACAGGGGACAUGGCACGGGGACAGUGGCACAGUAAGGGUGUGGGGACAGGGGACACGGCACAGGAAAGGAAUAGGGACAGGGGACAGUGGCACAGUAAAGGUGUGGGGACAGGGGACAGUGGCACAGGGACAGUGGCACCGGAAAGAUGUGGGGACAUGGGGACAUGGCACAGGGACAGUGGCACAGUAAGGGUGUGGGGACAGGGGACAUGGCACAGGAAAGGUUGGGGACAGGGGACAUGGCACGGGGACAGUGGCACAGUAAGGGUGCGGGGACAGGGGACAGUGGCACAGGAAAGGAAUGGGGACAGGGGACAUGGCACGGGGACAGUGGCACAGUAAGGGUGUGGGGACAGGGGACAUGGCACGGGGACAGUGGCACAGGAAAGGUUGGGGACAGGGGACAUGGCACAGGAAAGGUUGGGGACAGGGGACAUGGCACGGGGACAGUGGCAUGGAACAAGGCGAGGACAGGGGACACUGCCACCACCACAUGGGGACAGGGGAAUGGGGACACAGGGCAUGGCAGGGGGACAGGGACACUGGAGCUGGCACGGCAUGGGGACACAGGGUGACAGCACAGGGCAGGGACACCGGCUGCUGGCACGGGACAGAACCUCGGGGCGCUGGCAGGGCAGGGGCACGUGGCAGAGGGACGGGGACAGGGGACACGGGACAUGGCAGAGGGACAGGACAGGAUGAUGGCAGGGCGUGGGGACAGGAAACGGCAGAGGGAUGGGACAAGGGACACGGCAGGCGGAUGGGACAGGGUGGUGGCAGGGCGGGGACACAGGGGACACGGAGGAGGGACAGGACAAAGGAGCUGGCACUGGGAUGGGGACAGGGAUGGGACAGGGGACACGAUACAGGGAUGGGGACAGAGGACAGGGCACUGGGAUGGGGACAGGGGACAGGGAUGGGACAGGGGACACGAUACAGGGAUGGGGACAAGGGACAGGGAUGGGACAGGGGACACGAUACAGGGAUGGGGACAAGGGACAGGGCACUGGGAUGGGGCAGGGGACACAGCACAGGGAUGGGGACAGGGGACAGGGCACUGGGAUGGGGACAAGGGACAGGGAUGGGACAGGGGACACGAUACAGGGAUGGGGACAAGGGACAGGGCACUGGGAUAGGGACAGAGCAGGGACAUGAGCAGAGGACGUGGCAGAGAGGUUGGGGACAGGAACACAGCAUGGGGCAGUGGCACAGGACUGGGGAUGUCACACCUGGCACAUGUCCCCCCACAGCCCAAUUUUGGGGACACUGUCCCCCCACAGCCCAAUUUUGGGGACACUGUGCCCUCACAGCCCAAUUUUGGGGACACUGUCCCCUCUCAGCCCAAUUUUGGGGACACUGUCCCCCCACAGCCCAAUUUUGGGGACACUGUCCCCCCACAACCCAAUUUUGG